RNAcentral lists this long non-coding RNA (1991 nucleotides) under Sus scrofa (pig). RNAcentral's name for it is "lncRNA (ENSSSCG00030047497.1)". The record is from RNAcentral. Lineage: Eukaryota; Metazoa; Chordata; Mammalia; Artiodactyla; Suidae.
UUUUUUUUUUUUUUUUUUUUUGUCUUUUUAGGGCCUUGCCUGUGGCAUAUGGUGGUUCCCAGGCCAGGGGUCAAAUUGGAGCUGAAGCUGCCAGUCUGUACCACAGCCACAGCAACCCCAGACCCUUAAACCAGAGCGAGGCCAGCGACUGAAUCUGCGUCCUUACGGAAACUAGGCAGGUUUGUUACCACUGAGCCACGAUGGGAACACCAUUUUUUUUUUUCCAAUUCAAUGGUUCCUGGUAUAUUAUGCCGUUAAAAUAUUGUGACAAAAUAAAUACCAACAGAAAAUUCACCUCUUUAACCAUUUCUUUUGGCUGCGCCCUCAGCAUACAGAAGUUCUUGGGCCAGGGAUCAAACUGGAGCCACAGUUGCGGCCUGUGCCACAGCUGCAGCAAUGCCAGAUCCUUGACCCACUGCACCACAGGGGAACUUCCAACUUUAAACAUUUUAUAAUAUGCAACUCAGCGACACGAAUUAUUCACAAUAUUGUGCAACCAUCACCACUGUCUAUUUCCAGUUUCCAUUACUCCCAACAGGGCUAUUUGGCUUUGGGGCUCACAGCGGAGUGUUGGUUUGCGCACACACUCGUCAGAGAAGCAAGGUAUCGAGGUAGAAAAGGAGCCGUUCCAAGAACUCAGUGCCAAGGCUCAGACUCUUCUGGGGUCACAGAUCCCUGAAAGCUACAGGAAGUGAUGGUUAUUUAGAAAAAUGCAACUUGAGAAGCAUAUACGACAUUCUAGAAGUCACUGCAGCCCAUCUGUAAAGUUGUCUCCCGUCCUCGACACUCAAGAUACGAACAGGCAGCCCUCCUGCCCCUCACCCCAGCCGUCUAUGGCGCUUUGCUUUGGCCAUGAACCACCACCCGUUCCUCUGCCUCCCCUGACCUGUGGCUUUAUUCUCUCAUCUGUGUACCAUACAUGAACUGUCAUGCUGUGUGGCGUUUAUUUCCCUAGGAUACAUGCCUGGGAGGGGAACCCCUGGGCUAAAGGGUAUGGAAUAUUCAGUUUUCAGGUUCAUGCUAAUUUUGAAUUAAUUCCCACAGUCACUGUACUCAAAGACCCACAAGCUUAUCAGCAACGGGUUUGUCAGCCUUUUUUUUUUUUUUUUUUUUUUUUUUUUUUUCCUGGUGUUUAGGGCUGCUCCAGUGGCACAUGGAGGUUCCCAGGCUAGGGGUCCAAUCAGAGCUGCAGCCACCCACCUAUGCCACAGCCACUUGGGAUCCGAGCUGCCGUCUGCAAGCUACACCACAGCUCACGGCAAUGCUGGUUCCUUACCCCACUGAGCGAGGCCAGGGAUCGAACCGGCGACCUCAUGGAUGCCAGUUGCUGAGCCACGACGGGAACUCCCUAGCGAGCAUACUCUUAAUUUCAAGAGUAUAAUGCAUAUGAGAAAAGCUUCUACCCAUUCCAAGGGAUCUUGGUUUACAGAAACUCGGGGCAACCUAGAAGCUUCCUAGAUCUCCCUCUCCCCCAUCUAGAAAGGUAAAGCUGUCAGGGCAGUAAUGAUUUUAUUAAUAUUUACCUCAUCCCCACGGUGAAUGAAAGAACAGAUACAGGAAAGAGAUUCUCUCUGGUGCCUGAACUGAAAACCAAAGAGCUUGCCGCCGUGAAGGAGUGUGCCUUGGUUUGUACAUUUAAUAUUUUACAGUUAGCGUGUGGUUACAGAUGGGGGAAGAGAUUAGCAGGAGGUUGUAAUUAAGUACAGUCUUUGUUAUUUUGGCUUAUUUUCACGACAAAAACCUCCAAAAGGAAAACUCUGAUACUAGAUGUGUUUCUAAGCCUGUUAACCUCGCCCAAGUGAGAGUAACUCAAACAUCUCAAGGUUAAGUGGCCAAGAAAACAGAAAAGACGGAGCGAAGCUCCUCAACCCCGAGGACAGAUGUGACCGGGCCCCGCUGACCCCUGAAGGAGGCACAAGGGGGCCUGCCCAGAGGGCCUGCUGUCCACAAAGCAUCCUUCUAGGGGGACCCUUGAGGAUCACAUGCUACCC